This 253-nucleotide ribosomal RNA is filed under the name uncultured bacterium. RNAcentral's name for it is "partial 16S ribosomal RNA". It matches the Rfam family "Bacterial small subunit ribosomal RNA", at positions 524 to 776 of the family's 1533-position model. The record is from RNAcentral.
UACGUAGGGUGCGAGCGUUAAUCGGAAUUACUGGGCGUAAAGCGUGCGCAGGCGGUUUUGUAAGCCAGAUGUGAAAUCCCCGGGCUCAACCUGGGAAUGGCAUUUGGGACUGCAAGGCUGGAGUUUGGCAGAGGAGACUGGAAUUCCCGGUGUAGCAGUGAAAUGCGUAGAUGUCGGGAGGAAUACCGAUGGCGAAGGCAGGUCUCUGGGCUAUAACUGACGCUCAUGCACGAAAGCGUGGGGAGCAAACAGG